This 85-nucleotide transfer RNA is filed under the name Gemmatimonadota bacterium. RNAcentral's name for it is "Gemmatimonadetes bacterium (soil metagenome) tRNA-Leu". It matches the Rfam family "tRNA". Rfam says of the family: Transfer RNA (tRNA) molecules are approximately 80 nucleotides in length. Their secondary structure includes four short double-helical elements and three loops (D, anti-codon, and T loops). RNAcentral also lists the same sequence under 1 other name. The record is from RNAcentral. Lineage: Bacteria; Pseudomonadati; Gemmatimonadota.
GCGAGAGUGGUGGAACUGGUAGACACGCAAGCCUUAGGAGCUUGUGGCUCACGCCGUGGGGGUUCGAAUCCCUCCUCUCGCACCA